Molecule: ribosomal RNA, 439 nt
Filed under: uncultured bacterium
Lineage: Bacteria
Description: partial 16S ribosomal RNA
Rfam family: Bacterial small subunit ribosomal RNA
Source: RNAcentral
CUACGGGUUGCAGCAGUGAGGAAUAUUGCACAAUGGGGGGAACCCUGAUGCAGCAACGCCGCGUGGAGGAUGACGCAUUUCGGUGUGUAAACUCCUUUUAUAUGUCAAGAAAAUGACGGUAGCAUAUGAAUAAGCACCGGCUAACUCCGUGCCAGCAGCCGCGGUAAUACGGAGGGUGCAAGCGUUACUCGGAAUCACUGGGCGUAAAGGACGCGUAGGCGGGUUUGAAAGUCAGGUGUGAAAUCCUACAGCUUAAUUGUAGAACUGCACUUGAAACUUCUAAUCUAGAGUAUGGGAGGGGGAGAUGGAAUUAGUGGUGUAGGGGUAAAAUCCGUAGAUAUCACUAGGAAUACCUAAAGCGAAGGCGAUCUCCUGGAACAUUACUGACGCUAAGGCGUGAAAGCGUGGGGAGCAAACAGGAUUAGAUACCCUUGUAGUC